AAUAGAUACCCUGGUAGUCCAUGCCGUAAACGUUGGGAACUAGAUGUGGGGACCAUUCCACGGUCUCCGUGUCGCAGCUAACGCAUUAAGUUCCCCGCCUGGGGAGUACGGCCGCAAGGCUAAAACUCAAAGGAAUUGACGGGGGCCCGCACAAGCGGCGGAGCAUGCGGAUUAAUUCGAUGCAACGCGAAGAACCUUACCAGGGCUUGACAUAUACGAGAACGCUCUAGAAAUAGAGAACUCUUUGGACACUCGUAUACAGGUGGUGCAUGGUUGUCGUCAGCUCGUGUCGUGAGAUGUUGGGUUAAGUCCCGCAACGAGCGCAACCCUCGUCGUAUGUUGCCAGCACGUAAUGGUGGGAACUCAUAUGAGACUGCCGGGGUCAACUCGGAGGAAGGUGGGGAUGAGGUACAAAUCAUCAUGCCCCUUUAUGUCCGUGGGUCUUCACGCAUGCUACAAUGGCCGGUACGAAAGGGCUGCAACUACCGCAAGGUGGAGCGAAUACCCAAAAACGCCGGUCUCAGUUCGGAUUGAGGU
RNAcentral lists this ribosomal RNA (537 nucleotides) under uncultured bacterium. RNAcentral's name for it is "bacterial SSU rRNA". It matches the Rfam family "Bacterial small subunit ribosomal RNA", at positions 777 to 1304 of the family's 1533-position model. The record is from RNAcentral.